RNAcentral lists this ribosomal RNA (491 nucleotides) under uncultured bacterium. RNAcentral's name for it is "partial 16S ribosomal RNA". It matches the Rfam family "Bacterial small subunit ribosomal RNA", at positions 28 to 507 of the family's 1533-position model. The record is from RNAcentral.
GAUGAACGCUGGCUACAGGCUUAACACAUGCAAGUCGAGGGGAAACGACGGGGAAGCUUGCUUCCCCGGGCGUCGACCGGCGCACGGGUGAGUAACGCGUAUCCAACCUGCCUCUGACUGAGGGAUAACCCGUCGAAAGUCGGCCUAAUACCUCAUGGCAUCGUCUGCGGGCAUCCAACGACGAUUAAAGAUUUCAUCGGUCAGGGAUGGGGAUGCGUCUGAUUAGCUUGUUGGCGGGGUAACGGCCCACCAAGGCUACGAUCAGUAGGGGUUCUGAGAGGAAGGUCCCCCACAUUGGAACUGAGACACGGGCCAAACUCCUACGGGAGGCAGCAGUGAGGAAUAUUGGUCAAUGGGCGGGAGCCUGAACCAGCCAAGUAGCGUGCAGGAUGACGGCCCUAUGGGUUGUAAACUGCUUUUAUGCGGGGAUAAAGUGAGGGACGUGUCCUUCAUUGCAGGUACCGCAUGAAUAAGGACCGGCUAAGUCCGUG